UCUAGCUAUUCUUCUCAUUACACCAUGGCAACCAUAAUUCCCAGAUCUAUUAUAGUCAUGUUCCUUGUUUUCAUAGGUUUAAUUUUAACUCCUGGAAUCCAAGAAGGCGUUGCUGCUCGUUCCAAUGUGUACAGAGAAGUACUUGUGAGGAGACCUAUAUGUCCUGCUUGUGUGUGUUGCCAACCUCCACCACCAGGAUCUUGUUGCAGAUGCUGCUCUUCUCCUAUCAAUUCUCAGUCACACAAUGGUUCGCCUUAAUCGACAUGUUUUCCCGCAGGCAGUAGCGGAUCUAAGAUUUAAGCUUGAUGGGCUUAAACUUAAUCUUCGAUGUUUUAAAAGUAAACUCAUUAGACUUUUGAUAUUAUUAGUUUAUACGUAAGGCGAAAAAAAGUGUUACACAUACACUUCACUGUACGAGCUUUGGAUCAUUGGAUGCAUCAAUACUGAUCCAGGAUAAACAUAAUGUAAUAAAUUUUCGUA
Long non-coding RNA from Nicotiana tabacum (common tobacco), 480 nucleotides. RefSeq lists it as uncharacterized. NCBI's taxonomy places the organism in Eukaryota, Viridiplantae, Streptophyta, Magnoliopsida, Solanales, Solanaceae. The record is from RefSeq and is a predicted model, not a curated record.